RNAcentral lists this transfer RNA (69 nucleotides) under Marmota monax (woodchuck). RNAcentral describes it as "tRNA.Ala". The record is from RNAcentral. Lineage: Eukaryota; Metazoa; Chordata; Mammalia; Rodentia; Sciuridae.
GGGGCUAUAGCUCAGUGGCAGAGCACUUGCCUAGCAUGUGUGAGGCACUGCGUUCAAUCCUUAGCACCA